RNAcentral lists this ribosomal RNA (547 nucleotides) under Constrictochalara constricta. RNAcentral describes it as "LSU rRNA". It matches the Rfam family "Eukaryotic large subunit ribosomal RNA", at positions 44 to 594 of the family's 3401-position model. The record is from RNAcentral. Lineage: Eukaryota; Fungi; Ascomycota; Leotiomycetes; Helotiales; Hamatocanthoscyphaceae.
CAAUAAGCGGAAGAAAAGAAACCAACAGGGAUUACCUCAGUAACGGCGAGUGAAGCGGUAACAGCUCAAAUUUGAAAUCUGGCCCUUUCAGGGUCCGAGUUGUAAUUUGUAGAAGAUGCUUCGGGUGUAGCUCCGGUCUAAGUUCCUUGGAACAGGACGUCAUAGAGGGUGAGAAUCCCGUAUGUGACUGGUUGCUUUCGCCCAUGUGAAGCUCUUUCGACGAGUCGAGUUGUUUGGGAAUGCAGCUCUAAAUGGGUGGUAAAUUUCAUCUAAAGCUAAAUAUUGGCCAGAGACCGAUAGCGCACAAGUAGAGUGAUCGAAAGAUGAAAAGCACUUUGGAAAGAGAGUUAAACAGUACGUGAAAUUGUUGAAAGGGAAGCGCUUGCAACCAGACUUGCACGCAGUUGAUCAUCCGGUGUUCUCACUGGUGCACUCUGCUGCGUUCAGGCCAGCAUCGGUUUUGGUGGUUGGAUAAAGGCCUUGGGAAUGUAGCUUCUUUCGGGGAGUGUUAUAGCCCUCGGUGCAAUGCAGCCUACCGGGACCGAGG